GCCGGUGUGGUGAAAUUGGUAUACACGACGGAUUCAAAAUCCGUUGCCGCAAGGCGUAGCGGUUCAAGUCCGCUCACCGGUACCA
RNAcentral lists this transfer RNA (85 nucleotides) under Pseudomonadaceae bacterium. RNAcentral describes it as "tRNA-Leu". It matches the Rfam family "tRNA". Rfam says of the family: Transfer RNA (tRNA) molecules are approximately 80 nucleotides in length. Their secondary structure includes four short double-helical elements and three loops (D, anti-codon, and T loops). RNAcentral also lists the same sequence under 2 other names. The record is from RNAcentral. Lineage: Bacteria; Pseudomonadati; Pseudomonadota; Gammaproteobacteria; Pseudomonadales; Pseudomonadaceae.